AUCUUUUUUGGUUCGUAAGUGUGAUGACUGGGUUUUCACACUGCUGUGUGAUAUGUCCCUCCCUCUAAACCUUGUUACGAUGUUGGCAUAUUACCCAUCUGACA
This is a small nucleolar RNA of Cynocephalus volans (Philippine flying lemur), 104 nucleotides long. RefSeq annotates it as small nucleolar RNA U13. The transcript has a single exon. The record is from RefSeq and is a predicted model, not a curated record. Lineage: Eukaryota; Metazoa; Chordata; Mammalia; Dermoptera; Cynocephalidae.